Molecule: ribosomal RNA, 1065 nt
Filed under: Triticum aestivum (bread wheat)
Lineage: Eukaryota; Viridiplantae; Streptophyta; Magnoliopsida; Poales; Poaceae
Description: partial small subunit ribosomal RNA
Source: RNAcentral
AUGGCUGCCCUGCUCCUCCCCCCAGCUUUGAUCAGAGAGCUGGAUGCCAUGCGGAGGGACUUUCUAUGGAAUGUUGCUGAGAGAGCCUCGGGAGCACAAUGCUUGGUUGCCUGGGACAGGGUUUGCCGCGCGAAAAAUGAAGGAGGGCUGGGGGUUCGCAGCCUUGCAGCCCAAAAUGAAUGCCUCUUGCUGAAAAUGGUUCAUAGACCUCAUGUUGCUCAACGAUCGCGGUGGGCGGCUUGGGUCUGGGCGGAGGCAAAUGGGCGAUCGCUGCUGGGCAAUGGUGACCGUGCCCUGGGAGAGCAGGGAGUGGUCCUAGCCAGGCUAAUCCCCCUGUACCGCGCGCUCUCUUCGGUGGAAGUGACGGUCUGGCAAGUUCGAGCCGAUGGGCUCCGCCAAUACCUUGUGCUGCGCCUCACGCGGGGCGGGGAGCAGGAAUUAGCUGUGGUCUCAACCAUGAUCUCAACCGCGCCGGUCCGAGGCGGGGAGGACGAGCGGUCUCUCAUCCACAUCGCCGCCCCAGGUGGGCGCCUGUCGUCUGCCAAAGCAUACCGGCUGCUGAGGUUCGGCGGGAGGACCUUACAUUGGGCGAAGUUCAUCUGGGAUGCGCGGGUGCCGUUCAGAGUCAAAUUCUUCUGUUGGCUGAUGGCGCAGCGACGCAUUCACACCAGAGACGUGCUGCUGAAGAAGCACAUUGUCGAAGCUGAUGGGGCCGGGUGUCCAAUCUGUGAAAGGGAGCCGGAGAGCGCGGACCAUCUGGUCUUCUCCUGCCCGUUCGCAGCGGCUUUCUGGAGACAUGUUGGCAUCGAGGUCAAUGCCGCAGCGGUUAACGCCUUGGAUCUGCUGGCUUCUUCGGCGAGCUCAGUUGUCAGCUCUGCCCGAGAUUUCACCAUGCUCUGUUGUUGGCACUUGUGGAAACAUAGGAAUGCGGUGGUAUUCCAAGGGCAGCGGCCCUCUCUCGCUCGGUUGCUGCGGGGCUGCCGGGAAGACGCUCUCUUGUGGCGUGGGCGCCUGAAAACGGAUGCCCGGGGCCAUGUUGAUACUUGGUUAAUGGCCCUGGAGUAG